Scylla paramamosain (green mud crab) is the source of this 1140-nucleotide long non-coding RNA. RefSeq lists it as uncharacterized. The record is from RefSeq and is a predicted model, not a curated record. NCBI's taxonomy places the organism in Eukaryota, Metazoa, Arthropoda, Malacostraca, Decapoda, Portunidae. The transcript has 2 exons.
GAAUGUAAAGAUAAGAAGAAGCCCUAUGCAACUUACUCAAUGUUCUACAAUAUUUUUCAGAAUGAGUACAAUAUCGCUUUCUUUGCUCCUAAGAAAGAUCAGUGUGACUUGUGUGUGUUGUUCAAUAAUGCAGAUGGGGAAGCUAAGGAAAACUUAAAAGAAAAGUAUGACACACAUCAAUGUGAAAAGGUACUUUCAAGGGAAGAGAAGAAGCAAGAUAAAACUGAAGGAAAUGCUAUAGUUGCUGUGUAUGAUCUACAAGCCGUACUGCAACUUCCACAAGAAUGAAGGCGACUCUGCGCAUUCUCUGAUUGAAAAACAAAUAAGGAGACUGAAGAAAGGGGGACCAAUAUUCGUUCCUGAAACCCUUGUCACUGCGAUUCGCUCUGCAAAGAAAACAGGCCAGCCGUUCCAAGUUCGCGUAAUGCAGUAUGAUGACUUUAAAAAUGUGAAGUCUCUUACUACACAAAUGGGAGCAAUCAAUGUCAAAGAUUUAAGAUUAAGUGAAAUCAAAGUCAUGAAGUUUGAAAAGCAAUGUCCAGCCUCAGUCUUAGUGAAAUAUUCAUACAGUGAUGAAUUCAAACGUGUUCUAUUGAUCAGAAAACCAAAGGUUGCCACAGAUCUCUUGCAGUGUUACUCAGAGAAAAUUCCCCCAAGCGAAAAUAAGAAAAAAGAUCUUAAAGAACUCUGUGAAAAAGGCUUAAUCCCACGUCCCUAUUCGACUUUUUUAACAACAUUACCUAAUUUUGAUGCUUAAUUGGUCACAAAGAUGUAAUACUUAUCAUUCAUUUUUUUUUUUUAUAACUGAGUUACGGCCAAGGGUAACAAAAAUUUAAAGGAAAUACUUGCUUCAUGUAAUUUAAACCUAUCUAUUUGAAAGAUUUCAUUAAUUUGAAGGAAAUUGUUUGCUUUAUGUGGCUGAACCAAUUGAUUUGAAAGAAAAAAAACUUUUUUUUUUUUUUACUUUUUUUUUCUUGGUAUGCAUUUUGUUGGAAGAAUAACAACAGAAUAUAAUGGUAUAAUAUAUUUCUGAAUAGGUACACAGCAUUUAUGAUUUAUUUCAAUUUGUUUUGUUACUGAAUGGAUAAAUACUGUUCUUUUUGUAAGGAAUAUUUAGUUUUAUAAUAAACUGGAAUCAUA